This 7427-nucleotide long non-coding RNA is filed under the name Capsicum annuum. RNAcentral's name for it is "long non-coding RNA (CANN_LNC009740)". Lineage: Eukaryota; Viridiplantae; Streptophyta; Magnoliopsida; Solanales; Solanaceae. The record is from RNAcentral.
AUAAUUUUUUACAUAGUAUCUUUUUCUUGGUUUUUUAUAUUUAUAUUUUGAUUUUUUAUAUUUCUUAUAUUUCUUAUGUCUUUUUCUUUUCUUAUAAUAUCUUUCUUCGCAUCCAAAUUGCGGUGCUAUUUUAUUUUUGCAACAAGCUAAAUUUCUUAUUAAUGUUUUUUCCAUUUUUAAUUCUUCUCUAUAUUUUUCACAUAAGUUUCUAUACCAUUGUUGUGUGUUAUAUAGAUGAAUAUACUUGCGCAUUUAAAGAAUAUUAUUACAAAGGAGCAUAUAGUAUAGAAGAAAGUAAAGAAAUAAGAAAAUUAUAUUUUAAUAAAUUACCCGAGCCAUUUAGUUACAAAAUAAAGUUAAUCAAUGACUUACCAAUAAAGCAUUAAGCCAGAAUGAGGACCGUGUAAAACUAUAAUGUAUUUAAUUUUUUUUCAUUUUUCUGUUACUUGGUACAUUUGUCAUUGGACAAAAUAGGUUGCUUGUUGAUUCAGUUAAAUUUUAUAUAGUAUCAGUUCGAUUUGUAAGUUAUCGAUUUGUAAAUGUAUUAAAUCAAUAAUCAAUUGUUCCUUCAUUUGUCAAUUUAUUAUUAAUUAGCAGUCAAUCAAUUAUUGGGUUCUUCAUUUAUUUAUCGAUUUAAUCGAUAAUAAAAUGCUUCUUCAAUUAAUUUUUUUAUUUACCUAAACAAAAUACUUCUAUAGUUAUAUUCAUCCUUAAUCGAAUUCUGCAGGUUUUUUCAUAAAAAGUGGAAGACGGAGACAGUUCAAAAAUUGAAAGAAAAACAACCAACAAGCUAUAAAAUAAAGUUGAAGCUAUAUACUCUAUUUUAAUGUAAACAUCAUUAAAACGAAAUGUUAUAUACUGUAUCUUAUUGGUCCUUCAUUAAUGUUUCAUUUAAAGUUCGGAAUUUAAGAAAAUACUACUUGCAUUGAAGCUAAAAGUUGAAUAUUUAUAAUAUUUUUAAAUGAAAAUCUCAAAAAGUUUUUAUUUUUGCAAAGUCUUAUACACACAUAUAUAAGCUUAAAUUCACAAAAAGCAUUUCUAAUACUAUAAUAUAUAUCCUUUACACACACAUAUAUAGAGAGAGAAAAGAUAGCGUAGCACCACUCUAUGGCCUCCAAACCUAUUUAUCUACUUUUUUCUUUUUUUGAACAUUUCUCUUAUUUCAGUCUAUUUUUCAUGUAAAUUAAUACUCUAUAUUUUUCAUUUAUUUGAAAGUAAUGACAUACUCAUUGUUAAAUGUCAUGUUAAAAUAUCCAACGUAGCUUUCUUAUUUCUUCUAAUAAAUUCUAUCUUUUACUCUUCCCUUCUUUAAUGUAUUAGAUGACACCACAAAUGUCAAAUUGAUCCUCUCAUUCUUCAUCGUUCUCUUCAUCUUCCUCUUCUUCAUUGUAAUAUAGUACUCUAUUAGAUAAGCUAGACAUAUUCACCUAUAUGCUAUUACAAACAAAUCAAAAGUUACUCAACAUUAACCACCAUUUAUUGUGUUUUUCUCUCUUUAAUAAAAUUUCAAUCAUGACCAUUAAAAAAACCUUUAAGGUCUUUAACUUAUAAAAAAUCAUCUAAUAUUGUCGAGUAAUUAAUCUAUUAAAAUGGAAAAGAUACCCCAUAUAAUGAAAAAUGAAACUUUAGUUUUCCAAACCUUUCAUUUUCCAACACUAUAUGUACGUUUACUACAACUCUUGCCUUUUCAUUUUCCCUACUACAUGAAGUAAACAAUGGCUUUGCCUUCUUAUAAAAAGGAUUAUGCCAAAAAGUGUUUGAGUCAACCUUAUGCAACAAUAACAAUUAACAAUUAAUCUUCAUAUAUUAAAGCUCUAUCUAUGAAUGUGUUGUUGCCUUGCUCGGGGAUGAGUAUAAGAAGUUUGGGCUUAUCAAGAAAAUAUAAUAAAUGACAACAAAAUUUUGUUUUGAUAAGUAUUUUGGCUUUUCAUUUAGUGUUUGGUAUUUACAUUGAAUCUGACGAAUCAGGAUUCGCACCAUAGGAUCCUAUUCAGAGGAAGUAAUCCCAAGGACUUUUUCAUACUCGAGAUUCAAAGUUGAGACCUUUGAUAUAGCGAGGAGUGAUCCAGUGAUCCCAUAAAUUCACCGCACCAUAUUCUUUGAUGGUACAUGAACCCAUGAAGAAACUUUAUUAUGCGUGGAGAAGUUAUUUUCAUAAUAUUGCCUACUGAUUUUGUGAAACUUUAUUUAUUAAAUUAGUGACACAUAGUUUGCCUUAUGAUGCUUCACAAUUGGAAAUAACUAUUGAUUAUAGUGCUUUGUGAUUGAGUGUUUUCGCAAACUUUGUUAGUUUUUUCUUAUUCAAUAAUAUUUUACUAAUAAUUAUACAUAAUUAUGAAAGGUGAAUAAGUUCAGUAUUAGAAUGUGUGUGUUCUUUGUAUAGGUUGUGUUGAUUUCUUCUAAAUAUAUCAUCUUCGUUUUUUUUUUUGGUAAGAUUCUUCUAAAUAUAUCAUUUUGAUUCUCACUUUUGUUUAAUGUUCAUACUUUUAAAUUUUCAAAUAUUAAAGUAUUUUUGAGAAUGUUCUUCUAACUCAGGAGUCGAUUACUGACAUUAAAAAGAGGGGAAAGCAAAGAGGGGAAAGCCUUAUAAUGUAGUUUUGAAACUUGACGUGGCUAAAACCUAUGACAGGGUAUCUUGAUUCUUCUUGAUCAAGGUAUUAAGGAAAAUGGGCUGCUCUAAUUCAAUGGUUAAUAUUAUUUGUAGACUGCUAUCUAAUAACUAUUAUUCUGUCUUACUGAAUGGCCAUUUUGUGAGGUUUUUUCAUUCUACAAGAGUGAAAAAAGGCGACCCUCUAUCCCUUGCACUAUUUAUUUUAUCAGCUGAGGUACUGAUAAGAGAUUUUAAUCAGGAUUUUAAAGGUUCGACUUUUAUUGAUUAUGACAUGCCUAAGUGGAGCCCUGAGUUGAAUCAUCUUGCAUAUGUUGAUAAUACUAUUAUUUUUACAUCCUUAUAUUCAAUUAAGAAGAUAAUGCAUGUUUUGAAGGAAUAUGAAUUGAAAUCUGGUCAAAAGAUUAUUAUGGACAAAAACUUCUACUAUAUGCACCAGAGUACUUUAACAAGUGUGGUGAUGCAGGUCAAACAAGCUACUGAAUGAGCAGAGGAUAUUUUUCUUUAAAGUAUCUUGGCUGCCCAUUAUCCUAUUCUAAGAGGAACAAAGAGAAUUAUUCUAAACUGAUUGAAAAAGUUCAAAACAAGCUUCAGAAAUAGAAAGGCAAGUUACUAUCUUUUGGAAGAAAAGAUGUUCAUAUAAAAAGUGUUCUUUAGAGUAUCCCUAUUUAUAUUAUAUCAUCAGUGGUUACACCUAAAAUUAUUUUUAAAGAGUUGCAAAGAAUAUUUGCAAAAUUCUUCUGGCAGACUAAGAAGACGGAAGAAACAAACAUUCGGUUACUUGAAACAAAUUGUCAUUGCCCAAACAGGAAGGAGGGUUAGGAUUUAGAUCCCUUAUAGAGGUUGCUAAGGAAAUACAUGCAAAAUUAUGGUGAAGGUUAAGAACUCAGAAUAACUUGUGGACAAAUUUUAUGUGGAACAAGAAUUGUAAGAAACAGUUACCUACAGUGGUGCAGCGAAGAAGAGGAUCCCAAGUGUGGAAGGCCAUGCUUGAAAACAAAGAUAAGCUUAAGGAAUUCAUAUGGUAGAAGCCUAGGGAUGGAACAUCUACUAUGUGGUUUGAUAAUUGGACUAACGUUAAUUCUUUAUUCAAACAACAGUCUCAAGUUAAACAUGUGACCUAUUGUUUGAUAUUGCAAAUUUUCUAAAUGAAGAGUGGUGGAAUUAUGAUUCCAUGAGGGCUGAAGUGCCAGGACAUGUAGUUGAUCAUGUGAAAGAAUAUAUGGAUAUGGUAUAUUAUAAAGACAAUAUGGAUAAAUCAUGGUGGACUAUAAAUUACAAUGACAGAUUUUCUACAAAAAGUGCUUGAAAAGUACUAAGACAUAAAGAAGAAGAGAAUGAGGAUCUUAAAGAAAUAUGGAUUAAAGGGUUUCCAUUUAAAUUCUGUUUCUUAUCAUGUAGAAUUUGGUAAGGUAUGAUUCUAACUGUUGCUUUAAUGCAUAGCUGGAAUGAUGAAGUCUCUGAGGACAGUGUUUGCUGUGAUACCCCAGAAGAGAAAUAAUCUCACAUAUUUUUCUUAGAGGGGAAAUUGUUAUUAAGGUGUGGGAUCAUCACUGUGAAGUUGCAAAGAUAGGAGAGCAAAUAUUAAAUUUAAAACAAAGUGUCAGAAUAUGGAGAAAGCAAAGUGAGAAUUAUAGAGUAACAACUGUGUAUAAAGUGGUGCCAAUUGUUAUUCUAUGAUUUUUAUGGAAAAGAAGGAAUAUUAUUAGGCAUGAAGAAACCUAUACUAUUAGGAAGAUUUUUUGGGAUAUUAAUGCUAUUCUUGUGAAAUUUAAAAAAUUCAGAUUUUAUCUUUAUGUUUUAGGAAGAGAUUGGGUCAGAAUAAUGGAUGAAUUACGAUCAGUCAAAAUUUCUACUACUUUUAAGAUGGUUACAUGGAAUUCUCCUAAGACUGAUUGGCUAAAAUAAAACAUAGAUGGUGCAUCAAAAUAAAAUUUGGGCCUUAGUUAUAUUGUAUUUUGUAUAAGGGAUCAACAUGACAAUCUCUUGGUGGCUCAAGGCAAUAGAAUUAAAGAUACCAUAAGUUUAGAGGCAUAAGCACUAGCUACCAGGGAGUGUCUAAAAUAUUACAAAAGGGAGUCUAUAAAUCAUCUUGUAUUGGAAAGUGGCUCUUGGACCAUGGCACAGAUACUGAACACUCAAUGGGAGGUCCCUUGUAAUUUGACAAUGAUGGUUAAAUCCAUCAGGGCAUUGAUGGAAAAUAUGUCAGUUAGAGUGAUAUAUUCCCUUAAGAAAGAACACUCUAGCUGACUUUCUGACUAACCUAGUGUUUACUUGUGUAGGGGACUUUCAAUAUAAUAAAGUGAAACAAUUGCCAGGAAAAGGAAGAGCUAUAUUUACAUUAGACAAAGCUUGAUUUCAAACAUCAGAAGCAUUGUGCAGGAAAUUAAAUUCAACAGUAGUUACAAGUAGUAAUUCAAAGACAGGAUCAACAGAAACAGAAUCAUCAAAGUAGGAACAUGAAUCAAAAUUAAUCAUGAUGAAAAUAGUGUUGAAGGCAAGAUAAGAGGAAGGAAGGAAGAAGAACCUGAUACCAAUAAGUUUCAUACUACAACUGGGUAGAGGAAAAGGGAGGAAAUCCAAGUGUAACCUACAAACUAAGCAUAAUUAGAGGUGUAAAUAGUUUAUGAAAUAUAUAUUAGAAAUUGACUAUAGAGAUAAACCGAUUGUUAGAAAUGAAUUCUCUUGAAUACAUAACCUACAUCCAAUGAGAUUCUGAGAUGUCAAAGGUCAUUGUAUUCAAACAGUUGAAAAAUUAAAUCUAAACAUGCAAUCCCUAGAUAUAUAUAUAUAUAUAUAUAUAUAGCAAUAAUCCAAAACAUUGAAUAAUAGACCUUAAUCCUCUUUAAAUUAAUUGAUAGUAAGGUAGUGGUAGUAGCUUCUAUUGAAGUCCAAUCCACUAACUAAAGAUUAAACAAAAGGAAGCUUAAGGACUUAGCUUUAAAGAUGAAGACGGUAAUGAUGCGGUCAACGAUAACUUUAAUUGAAGUUCUAAUGAAAGUGAAGUGGAAGAGCAAUCAACAGACCUGAUUUCCUAGUUUGACUUACUGAUUGCGUAUCUUGUCCGUUGUUUGUUGAUUUUGGAUCCGGGUCAGGCCAAUUUCGAGCUUGAUCUAUCUCAUUGCAGCAGAAUUUGAUAUUUUUUUUUAUAUAAUAUGGGCUUUAGCCCAAUUUAGUUUUAAAAAAGUAGUUCAUAAAUUCAAUAUCUUUUAUUUUCAAUUAUUUUUAAAAACAGUAGUUCAUAAAUUCAAUAAGAUCUUUCAUGUUUAUACUUUUCAGUUCAAAUAUUUAAGGAAAGGAAACCAUUAGUUCAAAUUCAAUAAGAUAUUUCAUGCUUUUUAUUUAUAUUAUUUAAAUAUAAGAAAAAAAUUAGUUCCUAAAUCAAUUAAAUUUUUCAUGCUAAUUAGAUUUUAAAAUAUCCAUAUACUAGCAAGAAAUUAAUUCAUAAAAUCAACAACGUUCUUCAUUUUACAUUUUUUUGAUAUUCAAAUAUAAAAAGAAAUAGUUUGUAAAUUAUAUUACUCCAUCCGUCUCAUAUUAGUAGAGAACAUUUUAUUUUACACAUGAAUAAGAAAUCAUAAAUAAGAAAGUAGUUUUAUUAAUUCACCACUUAUUUAAAAAAAAAAAAUUUACAAACAAGUGUGAGCACUUUCAACAAGAAAUAAUUGCAAGGGUAGUAUGAAAGAAAAUUAAUUAAUACUUUCUGAUUUAGUAAAGGAACCAACUAAUAUUGGACAACUAUUUUUAGUAAGAUGACCAACUAAUAUGGGAUGUAUGGAGUAGAUUUUUCAUUAUCGUGCGAAGAGUGAUUAAAUUUACUAGUAUGUCCAUAAAAACAAACAGAUUCUCGAGAAGCAAGAAUAAGGCAAAAUCAAAGACUACAACACUUUGAAUUUUUCAUCCACAAAACUACAACACUUUGAAUUUUUCAUCUACAAGUGUAUAUAUACCUAAGAUAAAACAACGAGCUACUGCGGGAGUUGUAAUUUUUCAUGAACCACCAGUUUAAUGUUCAUUAUUCCCAAUUCUGCCUGCAUCCGAUAUCAUAAGUCAUAUCAUUUUUACUUUUUCAAGAAAACUAAUUUUUUUAUAGCAUUUCCUUGUGCUAUAUUUCUGAAGGACUCAUAAACAUCCAUAAUGUUGUUGUUAUUGUUUGCUAUUAAAUUACAAUCGUUAGAUGCUACAACUAAGCUAUUAUUAUAAGAAAGGAAAGAAAAUAUUUGCUUAUUGCUCUCAACCUUUCAAUUAGUUAAAGUAAUGAUAACUGAAAGUUUUUAAAAAUUUGUUUCCAUUGUUAUAUUUAUGAAAAGGAAAUUAUCUUUUUAAGGCCAAAUGAUUAAUUCUUAAAGCACAUUCAUUUUUAAACAGUCUUUAUGACCUCAAAGCGAAUUGAAGCUGGAAGUCUUAGUAGAUAUCUGAGAGCUUUACUUUAUAUACAUCUAGAUAAGCUUUAACAAAAAGGUGUUAUAGCUCAUCGAAAUGCAUCAGAGAAAUUUUAUUUGAUACUCUGUUGUACCUUAUAAUUUUGGCGUGUAAUAUAUGUAAGUUUUUUUUCAAAGACAAAAGUGGUUGUUCCAUUUUUCAUAAUUCUGUUGUUACUACUUUGGUGAUGCUACUAAAUAUAGUAUGUUACAUGAUCCUAAAUACUUAUACUUAUAUUGUUGAACCGUAAAAAUUCUAUGUUUGUUUGUUGCAAGAAGCUUGGCACCAUCGGUUCACUUGGUCCUAUGUAAAAUUUACAUGUGGAAUAUGAUAUUCAAAGAGGUGCGGUCAUAAAAAAAUUCUAUUCAUCUGUGUACAUACCAGAUAAAUAUUUCAU